RNAcentral lists this non-coding RNA (89 nucleotides) under Lachnospiraceae bacterium G41. RNAcentral describes it as "c-di-GMP-I riboswitch aptamer". It matches the Rfam family "c-di-GMP-I riboswitch aptamer". Rfam says of the family: GEMM was predicted in a large-scale screen for bacterial structured RNA regulatory elements. Genes associated with GEMM are involved in a diverse array of functions, including chemotaxis regulation, signal transduction, secretion and chitin. Lineage: Bacteria; Bacillati; Bacillota; Clostridia; Lachnospirales; Lachnospiraceae. The record is from Rfam by way of RNAcentral.
ACUAGUGAGGGGCAAACUUUCCGAAAGGUUAGGACGCAAAGUCGUAAGCCGUAAAAGAAGAUUUUUUUCUAGGUAGUUAGACUGCAAUC